UACGUAGGUGGCAAGCGUUGUCCGGAUUUAUUGGGCUUAAAGGGUGCGUAGGCGGUUUCCUAAGUCAGUUGUGAAAUACGGCAGCUUAACUGUCGAGGUGCAAUUGAUACUGGGAAACUUGAGUACUGAUGAGGUAUGCGGAAUGGACGGUGUAGCGGUGAAAUGCUUAGAUAUCGUCCAGAACACCGAUAGCGAAGGCAGCAUACUAAGGAGUAACUGACGCUGAGGCACGAAAGUGUGGGGAUCAAACAGG
This 253-nucleotide ribosomal RNA is filed under the name uncultured bacterium. RNAcentral describes it as "partial 16S ribosomal RNA". It matches the Rfam family "Bacterial small subunit ribosomal RNA", at positions 524 to 776 of the family's 1533-position model. The record is from RNAcentral.